Molecule: ribosomal RNA, 705 nt
Filed under: Salmonella enterica subsp. enterica serovar Bovismorbificans
Lineage: Bacteria; Pseudomonadati; Pseudomonadota; Gammaproteobacteria; Enterobacterales; Enterobacteriaceae
Description: partial 23S ribosomal RNA
Rfam family: Bacterial large subunit ribosomal RNA
Source: RNAcentral
GGGAAAGGCGAAAAGAACCCCGGCGAGGGGAGUGAAAAAGAACCUGAAACCGUGUACGUACAAGCAGUGGGAGCACAGGUUUACCUGUGUGACUGCGUACCUUUUGUAUAAUGGGUCAGCGACUUAUAUUCUGUAGCAAGGUUAACCGAAUAGGGGAGCCGGAGGGAAACCGAGUCUUAAUUGGGCGUUAAGUUGCAGGGUAUAGACCCGAAACCCGGUGAUCUAGCCAUGGGCAGGUUGAAGGUUGGGUAACACUAACUGGAGGACCGAACCGACUAAUGUUGAAAAAUUAGCGGAUGACCUGUGGCUGGGGGUGAAAGGCCAAUCAAACCGGGAGAUAGCUGGUUCUCCCCGAAAGCUAUUUAGGUAGCGCCUCGUGAAUUCAUCUCCGGGGGUAGAGCACUGUUUCGGCUAGGGGGCCAUCCCGGCUUACCAACCCGAUGCAAACUGCGAAUACCGGAGAAUGUUAUCACGGGAGACACACGGCGGGUGCUAACGUCCGUCGUGAAGAGGGAAACAACCCAGACCGCCAGCUAAGGUCCCAAAGUCAUGGUUAAGUGGGAAACGAUGUGGGAAGGCCCAGACAGCCAGGAUGUUGGCUUAGAAGCAGCCAUCAUUUAAAGAAAGCGUAAUAGCUCACUGGUCGAGUCGGCCUGCGCGGAAGAUGUAACGGGGCUAAACCAUGCACCGAAGCUGCGGCAGCGA